AGGGACUUUUGGGGGCAGUUGUG
RNAcentral lists this microRNA (23 nucleotides) under Alligator mississippiensis (American alligator). RNAcentral's name for it is "ami-miR-365-5p". Its record names the gene ami-miR-365-5p. The record is from miRBase by way of RNAcentral. Lineage: Eukaryota; Metazoa; Chordata; Crocodylia; Alligatoridae.